Molecule: long non-coding RNA, 1698 nt
Organism: Zonotrichia albicollis (white-throated sparrow)
Lineage: Eukaryota; Metazoa; Chordata; Aves; Passeriformes; Passerellidae
Source: RefSeq, a predicted model, not a curated record
UCACUAACAGCUGCAAUUUGUUUCUGUACUGCUGCUCAUUUGCCUACCUGUGCUGAAAGAGAGGAAAAGCAAUGGAGAGCACAGGGUAGGAUCUGUGUGUGCCAGGCUGUGAUUGCAGGGGAGAACUCUGAGUGUGGGGAACCUGCCAGGAGCCCAAAAACUGAUCUUUGGGAGAGGAUGCUGCAGAGCUGGGAAGGCUUGCACACUCCUGGAAACCCAUGGAAGUACAAGGCCAAAUUAUGCCAGGGAUGUUGACUGCCACAAGCCACUGGCUAAAAUCAUGGGAUUCCCUCUUCCAUGGGGUAAAACACAUGUCAAAGCAAAGGGCACAGCAGUGCCAGACCUGCUCAUAAUGGAUGCUGUAAAUGUGAAAAUAAUGGAUUUUUAAGGAGAGCAUCCUCCAGCCAAGGAUCUCAGCACACUUCCUAUUUAUUAUUAAAGCCUUUCAACAUUCCUGCAGAGUGAACUUGACAUCAUUUAAGAGAUGGAAAAGCUGGAACACAGAGAGGAAAAUUGAGAAAAACAUGCAGAUUUGUACUUGUACUGGGGAAAGAAAACCAACCCUGCUAUGUACGUUUGAAAGUUCUCAGGCUUGACAAGAGUAAUGAAGUUGUUUAGCCAAAUUUGAUCAUCACAGAAGUGCCCAAAGAUGAUACUGCCUGACACAGUCAAUAGCAAUCCCCAAGCAGCAAGGAGAAUAUUACAUUUUUUUUUGUUUUCUUAACACCAAAUGUACCUGCAAUUAUCCAUGGCAUGUGCUUAUAUUUACUCUACACCAAUUCAUACAAGUUUGAUUUCCCUAAUAGCCAAAUUUCAACAAAGCCUUGUCAAAGGUGACUUGUGCCAGCUCUCUGUUCUAGCCUUGGAGUGUGUUUGCUGUGUUUAAUUGGCCUUCAGUAGCUCCUGCCUCCUGUCAACAAUAAUUCACAAUUGGCUGAGUGACCUGAAAGAGCUCCCUAUUUUCAGGACAAUGUUGUUUUUAGUGGAGUCACCAGCAGAUUCCCUUGGGGUGCUUCAGUGUGGGUGAGCAGCUCAUUCAAGGAGCACUCAUCAAUGCCCCAGGUACAGUUUUGUUGAUUCAGGUUGUAAGAAAAUCAAAUUUUCCCUACUUUGUGACUCAAGUUUGUGAUAUGGAGUGCAAAAAAAAAGGAUGGUUUAUUUUGAAAGCACCCUAAGGUUUUUCAAAAGAAGAAAGAAAACUACCAUUCUUUUUUACAAUUGAAAUCAGAGAUGUUUAAUAUUAUGGGAACUCAGCACAUCCCUCCGGAUGUCCAGAGUUGCCGAGAACCCCGUCAGGGGGCUCAGAGACCCUGGCAUACUGCCCAGAACGCCUGCUGGCUUGAUUUUGAUCCUUCCAAUGAAUUGCCAGCUUGGCAUGGGGAUGUGAAAGCCACAUAGGUUUGAAUGGUAUAAUAAUAAAGUAUUCACAGGGUGAAAAUACAGAUUUUAGGAUUUUUGGUAUAGGGGUUAUGGGGACAAGAUAGAGGAAAAAGGCCGUGUCUAGUCCUUCUUUCUUCUUCUUGUUCUCCAUUUUCUGCUGUGAUGCUGGCACUUGGGGAUUGGUUUAGAACAGAAGUACACUGUCUAACAUAGGUGAUAGCUAUUGGGAAUUAAGAGUAAAUAUGAUAUACGUAGUUUGUAGUAUAAAAAGACAACACCACCUCAGGGGAGGUCAGAGUGCCUGUGGCUGCCGUGCUG